Molecule: ribosomal RNA, 274 nt
Filed under: uncultured bacterium
Lineage: Bacteria
Description: partial 16S ribosomal RNA
Rfam family: Bacterial small subunit ribosomal RNA
Source: RNAcentral
AUACGGAGGGUGCAAGCGUUAAUCGGAAUUACUAGGCGUAAAGCGUGCGUAGGUGGUUUGUUAAGUCAGAUGUGAAAGCCCCGGGCUCAACCUGGGAACUGCAUUUGAAACUGGCAUACUAGAGUAUAGGAGAGGAAAGUGGAAUUUCAGGUGUAGCGGUGAAAUGCGUAGAUAUCUGAAGGAACAUCAAUGGCGAAGGCAGCUUUCUGGACUAAUACUGACACUGAGGUACGAAAGCGUGGGUAGCAAACAGGAUUAGAAACCCUAGUAGUCC